Molecule: long non-coding RNA, 5467 nt
Organism: Mercenaria mercenaria
Lineage: Eukaryota; Metazoa; Mollusca; Bivalvia; Venerida; Veneridae
Exons: 4
Source: RefSeq, a predicted model, not a curated record
UGAUAAAAGUAGAGACAACCAUAUUCAAGGAAAUUUGUUUAGAUUAUAGAAUCUGUUUAGAAAAAAAAGUUGUGCAACAUCGAAACUGGACUUUGUAAUAAAAUUCAGUCUGGAAAGAACCUAAUGUAAAAAUGAGUCCGUCAAUAUAUGAGGAGCUUAAUUUUGAUAUCAGGUCAAUGACUUUUGUUUUAUGACUGUGACCUUGACCUCUGAGUUAGGGAUAAGGAUGUUGCAUUACACCCUAUGGGAAACAUUUGUACCAAGUAAUAUUACAAAGUUAUUGAAAGAAAAACCGUUGAAUUGCAAGUGUGACAUUGACCAUGAAAUAGGUUCUGUUUAAUUAAGAUGACAAGUCGUCUGAUUAUGGUAAUAUUGUUAUCCCUUGAUGGACGGCAGAGCUCUCGACCGGGCACGAAACCGAUCUUGUUCAUGCCAUGUUAGCAUUUGACUGCCAAGUGUGACCUUGGCCAUUUAAAGUUAGGAGUUUGAAAGAUGUACAUGACACAUUGUCUUAUUAUUGAGUAAUUAGUGCCAAGUAAUAUUGAAAUCCAAUGAUGAAUGAAAUAUGGACCCAAAGACGGACCUGAAAACGAAAUGACGGUCGGAAAAGCGCAAUCAUAUAGUCCCCUAAGCUGGUUUUGAUCAGUCUGCGAGUAAUUUCAUCUUCAGUCUGCUAACUAUCUUACUGUUGAGAAAAAAUAAAAUAUCAGUUUCAUGACAUUAAAUUUGAGGGCAUAAAAAUCACCCCACACUUAAGUGGCAGUGGCCAGUUUCGUACGUUGGUUAAUGUAUUUUACAGGCAUUAUAUUUAAAUGGACUUUUUGUUGUUCGUAGAACAUAUCGGGGCCAGGGAGAGUAAAUUUGAAAAUUCCACAAAUAUGUGCUGAUACCAGUGCGGAGAAAAAGUGAUAAUAAAUCCAUUUUUGACCAAUUCCAGGGAAGUGUUGAGCGAAUAUAUUGCAUAUUCUUAGCACUUCCUCGUGUGAUAUUUUAGUUUAAACAAUAUUUUAUUAUUUAAGCAACAUACACAUAAUAUGUACAACAUAUUUUUACAUGUCAAAUACAUGGAUUGGAAAACAAGCUAAUAGAUUAUGUAAAUUCCUUUCCAAGUGUGACAUUUUAAGCCUGAUAAGUCCGUUGUUUCUAUGAUGAUGAUGAUGAUGAUGAUGAUGGAAACGAGUUAUUUACAAAUGACUGACCUAAAACAUAUGUAUAUCGUAUAAGUUCUUUCUUCUGCCGGCUUAAUAUACAGUAUAUAUAUUUUUGAAAAAUGAAGUGGUAUUAAAUUUCUGCGUACUUUACUUCUGUGGAGUCUGUCUUCUCACGUUGAUAUUUCUGAGGUUCUGUAUUCACCGAUUUUUUCAUUAAUUUCAAACAGGAUUAUAAUGACGGCUUGUAUUUUCUGCGAAUUUCAAAUCUACAGUCUUAGUGUCUUGCGCAGAAAAUGCAGCAGAUUAAUUUUUCAAGCGCCUUGAGAAUUGUUGCACGUUAUUUUAUAUAUACGAACAUGCAAAACAGACACGAAAAAAAUAGCGGGAAGAAAACAAUAUUUUUAACGCAUGUGACCAGACGAAAAGUAAUGGCGGGAAGAAAAGUGCCUUUUGUAUAUCUUUUGCAAAUUAAACCAGAUAAAAAUGUUUUCAAUAGCAUGAAAAAAAUGUCUGUAUUAGAGCGUCUAAACUUGCCCACCCUCACGCGCAAAAUGAGCCAAAAUUUACAAUUUGUCUCUACGAGAUAAAAAAUGUAAAGUAAAUCUGUUUUUAUAGAUUUCUAGCGUAAUUUAAUUUAAUAUAUUCCGUCAUUAGGAAUGAUUUCAGAACAGUUUGCAUCAUUUUGCAAAAAUGAAAUGUUCCAUCACCCUAUAUGCAUAUUUCAUGAGGUCCACACACUCUAACGUCCACUGAAUGAUGAAAUGCAUGAUGGGUUAAUAUAUAAAAAUGAUGCUUUUACAUUACUAAGUUGAAGAAUUAAAAACAAAAUAUCGUAUGUAUAUAUAUUAACUUUCAUACCUUGGCGUGGCCUUAUCGUAACAAUUUUGCUGCUGUGUCGUCGAUUAGCGUUUGAAGUCCCCAGAAAUUUUAAAAUAUCAAACAAGCGAUUGUAAACUAUAUAAAACGCGCAAAAUAUUUCACUUAUGAUUUUUCUAUUUAUGAACAAAAGCAAGUGUUACUGGUUUUUAACUUUUAUAUAUCUUUCGCAAAUUAAACUAGAUGCAGUUGUUUUCAAUAGCACGAUAAAAUGUCUAUAUGUUACAGUCUAAAGUUGCCCACCCCUCAUGCAUAAAAUGAGCCACAAAUUAAAAUUUGUCGCUGUGAGACAAAAAUGUAAAUGUUUUAAUAAUUUUCUGGCGUAAUUUAACGUAUAAUGAUAUAUGGGCAUUUUCGCAUCAUUUUGAGAAAAUGAAAUGUCCACACCCUCUAAAUAAUAAAAAUGAUGCUUUUACGGUACUAAAACAUUGUUAAUGGUGGUAAAAUUAAAAAGACAUGUCUCAAUAUUUGUUUUAUGAUUUUUUUCGCAUUGGUAUCAGUGUUAUUUUUGGAAUAUUCAAUCUUACUGCCCCUUGCCCAAAUAAGUGAUUUCUUUUUCCGCAAAAUUUAAACUUUGAUGGGUGAUUUUAGAUAUCUCAGGAAAAUUGGACAGGUCUGUCUCUUGGGAAAAAUCUCCAAGCAUUCAUUCAUUUUUCACAACAUUUACUCAUUCGUGGGAAUCCUCUUUUCAAAAAGCAUCAUAGAUAAUCAAUUGAAACAUCUGACUCUUGUAUAUUCAAGUAACAAUACAAAAUCGGCCAUUUCUACUUACGAAACCUGAUUUUUAUGUACAUGCUUUAGUUUUUUCAUGUCAGUUCGAAAGUAACAGAAUGAUUAAUUUUCCUCAUGAAAGGAAAGCUUUUUCUCUCUUCGGUCAGAACUGUCAAUACCUGAUGGGUUGGAAAAUAUAUGAAACUGUUCGCUGCAUAACACUUUGAGGUAGUUUGGCUUUAAACAUGUUUCACAUUAACUGUGGGUAAUCAAAUGCCGAUUAUGUCUUUUCAGAGCAUUUCAGACAAGACUGAUAAACCUUACAAUCAUUUCCCUAGGGAAAAUCUUUAGAAUUGACUGGCUUUUGACUCCUGUGCAACUACAUAAUAUUGUUUAUAAAAUUAAGUUUUUAAUAUCUUUGUUUAUUUUCAGUCUAGUGUCUAGUUAAUUGCUUAAAAAAUGUACUUUGCUCUGCUCUAUUUUCAUUGACGAUACAAUGAUAGAUGAUUUAUAGCACACUUGUUGCAGUUCCACUUUAAGAUAAAUAUCAAAGUUUGAUACCAUAUGUUCCGGUAGUUAUUAUCUUGAUUUGAAUUGUUUCAGUAAAAGAAUAAGGAACAAACAUCCAAUUAGGAUUAGCCAAGUUUAAUACACGAAACAAUGAAACGAAAUAAGUGCCUAAAUAAGUAAGAAGAAAUCAUUUUUUAUUAAGGAUACAAUUCGAAAUGAUGAUAGAUUAUAAUUAUACAUUGUACACUGUCAGUGUUUAUUUAGAUCGAUCCAUCGGAAUGUUUAUUUACACACAGAUAUAAACAUUAUACCAUGGGAAUUCGUAGCACAUAAUAUUUAGACUGAAGUCGGAAACAUUUUCCUGAAACGAUUAUUUUUCGUGUUAAACCUUGUGCUUCCAGAGAUAAUAACCAAGGUGUUUAUUUACAAGAUUGUUAUCAUUACUUCAAACCAACGGACACUAGUUUAUGUUCCAAAAAUGUAAACAAAAUAAGAAAAUCAACUGAAAUUUAUUUUGUAAAUUAGGGCGCCAAUAUAAAUUGAGUUGAUAAGAAAGUGCUAACUACAAUAAACGCACUGGAAAGCUAUUUCGGAUAAAAUACAUCGGUUUGAGCGGACAUUAUUUAUGCAAAAUUACAGAUAUCGUUAUUUGUAUCUGUUCUGGUCGUUUCUGAACAUGGAUAUUUUUCGGAAGAGUUCGCAUGAUAGUUCCCACAUACUGGAUUCAGAUUCAUUGGUAAUGGAGGCCUUGUGUACUAUGCAAUACAAAGAAAACUACAUUCAUGUGUCAACAUUUGCUGUUAUUAACAGGGAUAUACACAGAUCAUUGUGGAUUAUAAAUGAAAGUUGGAUCUUUAAAAGCGACCACGUUACCUAACUGGAAUAGCGUUUUGAAGGAGAUGUAUAUUCGUAUUGCUUUGAAUAUUACAAAUAUAUGGACAUUUGUUUUCGUAAUGUGAAAUGAUAACGUAUCUCGAAAAUGUCAGGACAGAAACAUUCAAUAAUUACAUUCUAACCAUAUCAAGUUGUGUAAGAUGUGCAAACAGUGACAAAAAAUCAUGAUGGAAUAUAUUGAAAAUCUUGUAAUCUUUCACAAUUUGUAAUUAUUUCUAUGAUGACUAAUGGCAAUACAUGCAAGCAACAUGUAUUUUGUCUGUUUACAGAAAGUUAAAUUCAAAAGGAAUUGUAUUCUUUUUCACACAGUAUCAGUUACCUUUGACAUUCAGUUUUCUGAAACUUAUCAGAAUUUUACUCGUUAUCUUGGCUUUCCUGUAUAUACUUAUUCUUUAUUAGAUGACAUAUACAUGUAUAAUUACAUAACACAGUGCUUAACACAGUGCUUAAAUUCUGAUAGCAAUAGCAAAACUCAUCUUUUCAUCAGAUUUCAGAAUGUCUAGAAUUUUGAGUGCAAUGUUAUCACUCAUUUUAUUUAUCUGAUUUAAGAUAGAUACACACAAUAUCAACAUAGGUCGCUUAUCAGAAUUCUGAAAGCCAUAACAACGGUCAGAUUUUCUUCUGUCAGAUUUCAAUUGUUUUGUAACGGCUUAUCGGAAUUCGGAUAGCAACAUUGACAUACAUUAUUUAUUUCCUCUGUUUAUAAUUCAGAUAGUAAAGUCAAUGUUCUUGUUUUCUACUGCCUGCUCUCAAAUGGUGUUUAUCUGAAUUCGGAUAGCAAACGCAACGCGCAGUUUCUCUACUGUUCGGCUCCAGAUCGUUUUACGCUGUGGCUUAGGCGAAUUCGGAUAACAACGAUAAUACAUACACAAGAUCUAUUUCAUAUAUUCCUGAUGAUAUGCAAAACUUAUAGUUAUUUCAAUUCAGAUAGCAAAGUCAAUGCUAGGUUUUUUGAACUGCAUGAUUGCUUAUCUGAAUUUGGAUAGCAAAAACGAAACACAAUUUUUAUUCUGUCCAACUUUAGAUAGUCAGUAUUUUAUAGACUUGUCUGAAUUCGGAUAAUAAUACAAACUCACAUAUUUGGUCAAGUGUAUUUACUUGUUCGUUUAAUGAUCAGGUACAAGGUCUCUUCCGUAAAUUAUCGUAUUUGGUAAAGUGUAUAUUUGCUUAGGACAGCGUAGCAUAAUGAAUAUUGGAUUUAAUCUGACAGUAUUUUGUAUUUGUAUAAUUGAUAUAAAAUGAAUUGAAGGUAAUCUAAGUCUGCCUUUUAUCUGAUUUCGGAUAGAGCAGUUUUCUUAUACAUAUUUAGAUAUGCGGUUUCCUGU